AACGAACGCUGGCGGCAGGCCUAACACAUGCAAGUCGAACGCUCCGCAAGGGGAGUGGCGCACGGGCGAGUAACACGUGGGAACCUACCUUCUGGUACGGAACAACCAAGGGAAACUUUGGCUAAGACCGUAUACGACCUCCGGGUGAAAGAUUGAUCGCCGGAAGAGGGGCCCGCGUCCGAUUAGGUAGUUGGUGAGGUAACGGCUCACCAAGCCUUCGAUCGGUAGCUGGUCUGAGAGGAUGACCAGCCACACUGGGACUGAGACACGGCCCAGACUCCUACGGGAGGCAGCAGUGGGGAAUAUUGGACAAUGGGCGCAAGCCUGAUCCAGCCAUGCCGCGUGAGUGAUGAAGGCCUUCGGUU
This 365-nucleotide ribosomal RNA is filed under the name uncultured bacterium. RNAcentral's name for it is "bacterial SSU rRNA". It matches the Rfam family "Bacterial small subunit ribosomal RNA", at positions 29 to 423 of the family's 1533-position model. The record is from RNAcentral.